GGGAAUCUACCGUGCCCUGCGGAAUAGCUCCGGGAAACUGGAAUUAAUACCGCAUACGCCCUACGGGGGAAAGAUUUAUCGGGGUAUGAUGAGCCCGCGUUGGAUUAGCUAGUUGGUGGGGUAAAGGCCUACAAAGGCGACGAUCCAUAGCUGGUCUGAGAGGAUGAUCAGCCACAUUGGGACUGAGACACGGCCCAAACUCCUACGGGAGGCAGCAGUGGGGAAUAUUGGACAAUGGGCGCAAGCCUGAUCCAGCCAUGCCGCGUGAGUGAUGAAGGCCUUAGGGUUGUAAAGCUCUUUCACCGGUGAAGAUAAUGACGGUAACCGGAGAAGAAGCCCCGGCUAACUUCGUGCCAGCAGCCGCGGUAAUACGAAGGGGGCUAGCGUUGUUCGGAAUUACUGGGCGUAAAGCGCACGUAGGCGGAUAUUUAAGUCAGGGGUGAAAUCCCAGAGCUCAACUCUGGAACUGCCUUUGAUACUGGGUAUCUUGAGUAUGGAAGAGGUAAGUGGAAUUGCGAGU
This 520-nucleotide ribosomal RNA is filed under the name uncultured bacterium. RNAcentral's name for it is "bacterial SSU rRNA". It matches the Rfam family "Bacterial small subunit ribosomal RNA", at positions 120 to 674 of the family's 1533-position model. The record is from RNAcentral.